Molecule: ribosomal RNA, 651 nt
Filed under: Triticum aestivum (bread wheat)
Lineage: Eukaryota; Viridiplantae; Streptophyta; Magnoliopsida; Poales; Poaceae
Description: partial small subunit ribosomal RNA
Source: RNAcentral
AUGGUUAUCACAUUAUGGUCUAUAUGGUAUGCGAGGCGAAAGGCAAUACAUGAAGCAAUCUUUCAAAGUCCAUAUCAGGUUUUCUCUUUUGUCAACUCCUACAUAAAUCAACUUCCGAAAGCUGGGGCUAUUAAACCAGCGAGUGUACCUUCCAGUAAUUUGCAGCAACGUUGGAUACCUCCACCGAUCCACACCCAGAAAAUCAAUGUAGAUGGUGCUGUGGCCCGCCAUCGACGUGGAGGAGCAAUAGAUGCGAUUUGUCGAGACCACUCUGGAGCUUACUUGGGGUCGUCGGCGGUGGUGUUUCGAGGAGUAAAUGAUGUGGUGAUCCUGGAAUCUUAUGCAUGUAGGGAGGGGCUUGCACUUGCAGAGGACCUGUAUAUUCAUCAACUACUGAUAGCAUCAGACUGCCAGAAUGUAGUCAAGGACAUAAAUCAGGGCACGGGAGGACCACAUUCGGCAAUUGUUCAUGAAAUAGUAGCUUGUAGAACUAGCUUCAGUUUCUGUAAUUUCGUUCAUGAGCAUAGGAGUCAUAAUUUUGAGGCUCACAAUCUCGCCAAGUUUGCUUGUAAUCUUGGCUUAGGUAGACAUGUCUGGUUGGGGGUUCCUCAUGACCCAAACCGUGUAUCUAUGAACAUUACUAUACAAUAA